UAAGGUCACGGCGAGACGAGCCGUUUAUCAUUACGAUAGAUGUCAAGCAGAAGUGCAGUGAUGUAUGCAGCUGAGGCAUCCUAACAGACCGAGAGAUUUGAAC
RNAcentral lists this ribosomal RNA (103 nucleotides) under Caryodaphnopsis bilocellata. RNAcentral describes it as "4.5S ribosomal RNA". RNAcentral also lists the same sequence under 12 other names. Lineage: Eukaryota; Viridiplantae; Streptophyta; Magnoliopsida; Laurales; Lauraceae. The record is from RNAcentral.